This 115-nucleotide small nuclear RNA is filed under the name Bos grunniens (domestic yak). RNAcentral describes it as "U5 spliceosomal RNA (ENSBGRG00000008690.1)". It matches the Rfam family "U5 spliceosomal RNA". From Rfam's summary of the family: U5 RNA is a component of both types of known spliceosome. The precise function of this molecule is unknown, though it is known that the 5' loop is required for splice site selection and p220 binding, and that both the 3' stem-loop and the Sm site are important for Sm protein binding and cap methylation. The record is from Rfam by way of RNAcentral. Lineage: Eukaryota; Metazoa; Chordata; Mammalia; Artiodactyla; Bovidae.
AUACUCUGGUUUCUCUUCAGAUCGUAUAAAUCUUUCGCCUUUACUAAAGAUUUCCGUGGAGAGGAACAAUUCUGAGUUUUUACUCAAUUUUUUGAGGCCUUGCCUUUGCAAGGCU